Molecule: long non-coding RNA, 1845 nt
Organism: Papaver somniferum (opium poppy)
Lineage: Eukaryota; Viridiplantae; Streptophyta; Magnoliopsida; Ranunculales; Papaveraceae
Exons: 9
Source: RefSeq, a predicted model, not a curated record
CCUCCGCCUCCGCCUCUCUCUCUUCUUUUUUCUUCUGCAAAUCUAAUGCGUGUUCUUGAUAUUUACUUCUUCCAUAUGGAUCUGCAAAGUUCUAGUGAGUAUUCGAGAGAUUAAGAAAUCAGGGUUUCAGGAGAUAGAUGAAAAAUUAGGGUUUCAAAAAUCAGAAUUUCUUCGUCUCUCACAAAAAUUUAGCUGAAGGUUUGAUUUGCUUUUCAAUUGAAUCCGAGAAGAACAAGAAGAUGCCGUUAUGUAAUGUGAGUAGAAGGAAUCCAGAAUUGGAUUAAGAUUUUUUACAGAACUCAUGGUCAUGGUCCUAACAAAGUCCUUCUCAUCAUUGGAUUAGCAGGAACGCAUGAUUCAUGGGAUUGCAUGGUCCUCGGAGUGUCAUCUAACUGGUUAUUAUCUUGGACGUGAUGCUGAUUCUGGACAUGAAGAAUACGAUGAUGAUGAUGAAUGUGACUCUAUGGAUGGUAUUUCUGGGGAGGAUAGGGACUCUGAGGAAUUCAAGUAUGAUUCUGAUAAUGAUGAGUACCUUGAGGAUGAUGGUGAGGAUCUUGAUAUGUUUCCAUCAGGCAAGAGUGCAGGAGAUAGAGGAUAAUGAGAAACCUACUGAUAAUUGGAAUGCAAACAGCAAACAUCCUAAGAAGUCAGAUGAACAGAGAAAUGUUGUUGAUGGUUUCGAUUGUUGUUUGAAUUUGAGUUGGAGUUGACAUGUUCAAAGGGUUUUGUGUGAUUCAAAUCAGUUAUGGUGGUAAGAAUUCAUGGGUUUUGUUGUCGUCUAUUGACCAAAAAAUCAGGGAAAUACUGGAAAGAACCUGAAGGUGUGAAGAUUUUGAAUCUUGAAGUUUGAACCUGAGGCAGGAAACAACAAGAGAGCUAGGCUGUUCUUGGUGCUGGUAAAGAAGCUGUUUGCCAAGCUGUUGAUGGUUCAGGUUGGCUCGAGUUUGAGAUGUUCUUAUAGAAAUCUUGUAAAUGCAAUACAAUACAAGUGUGUAUGCUGGUUUCCGGGAGUCCUAUAAGAACCUCGGGCAAAGUAGUUAUCAGGAAUCAGAUUGCAUCUUGUUUAGGUAUGCGACGGCUAGUUUCUUCUCCUAUGAUGGCAUGUUUUUUGCAAUGGAUGGAAGAGACACCUCAAGCACGAAACCUUCUUAAACUCAUCACUCAGCUGCUGCAACUACACAAAGAUCUCCUGCAUCUAGACAUCAGAUGGACCUAGACCGGUGUCUCCUCUUCUUACCCAGGGAUCCCCAGUUCAAGAGAAGUUUGCUAUGCAGAAGUCCCCUAGCAGACAUAAGUAUCUGACUGAAAGGCAGAAAUCUGAUGUAACUAAACAUAUGUCUUUUGCUUCCAAGCAUCAGUGCGCUAACUCUCAAGAGAUAUCUCAAUCUACGGAAUCGAAAUUCAAAACUAGACUCCCAGUGACUGGGGAAUGCAAACUGGCCCAUACCUCACUAAGGAACAUCUUUGCAGUUACUUUUCAUCAAUCAGCAGCAAAAAAGAUAAUGCAUGGAGUUCCACUUCAUGAUGAUUGCAUCAGAGUUUCGUAGCUUGGCCAAAAGCACUUGCGACCUCUUGCUCUAUUAUAUAGCCACUUGUAGAUCCUAAUGAACAUGGUGCUGACCCCAAAGGCUAAGUAGAUGAAGAACAAGAAAUCUCCAGCUAUGAAUGCUCAGAGAACCAGCAAGAGUCAUUGAGAGAAAUAGUACCUUAGACUGCGAAUGUUCAGACUUUUUGAAUCGCCAAUUGAAUAUUUUAUGUUUUAAGAUUUUGCACGACUGAUCAGACAUAUGAGAGGUUUAUCAUAUGAUUAAUAAAAAGUAUUUUGGACCAAUUAUUGUUUUGCAA